Molecule: ribosomal RNA, 1362 nt
Filed under: uncultured bacterium
Lineage: Bacteria
Description: bacterial SSU rRNA
Rfam family: Bacterial small subunit ribosomal RNA
Source: RNAcentral
AGAGUUUGAUCAUGGCUCAGAACGUACGCUGGCGGCACGCCUAAUACAUGCAAGUCGAACGAAGUAGCAAUACUUAGUGGCAGACGGGUGAGUAACAUGUAGGUAUCUUCCCUUUGGUGAGGAAUAACACGAGGAAACUUGUGCUAAUACCUCAUAAGUCUUUACGGAGAAAGCUUUAUGCGCCAUUGGAUGAGCCUGCACUUGAUUAGUUUGUUGGUGGGGUAAUGGCCUACCAAGACAAUGAUCAAUAGCUGAUUUGAGAGGAUGAUCAGCCACAUUGGGACUGAGACACGGCCCAAACUCCUACGGGAGGCAGCAGUAGGGAAUCUUGCACAAUGGAGGCAACUCUGAUCCAGCCAUGCCGCGUGCAGGAAGACUGCCCUAUGGGUUGUAAACUGCUUUUAUACAGGAAGAAUUGCAUCUACGUGUAGUUGCUUGACGGUACUGUACGAAUAAGGAUCGGCUAACUCCGUGCCAGCAGCCGCGGUAAUACGGAGGAUCCAAGCGUUAUCCGGAAUUAUUGGGUUUAAAGGGUCCGUAGGCGGUUUUUUAAGUCAGAGGUGAAAUCCUGCAGCUCAACUGUAGCAUUGCCUUUGAUACUGAAAGACUUGAGUUAUUGUGAAGUAGUUAGAAUGUGUAGUGUAGCGGUGAAAUGCAUAGAUAUUACACAGAAUACCGAUUGCGAAAGCAGAUUACUAACAAUAUACUGACGCUCAUGGACGAAAGCGUGGGUAGCGAACAGGAUUAGAUACCCUGGUAGUCCACGCCGUAAACGAUGGAUACUAGCUGUUCGAUCAACAUUGGUUGAUUGAGUGGUUAAGCGAAAGUGAUAAGUAUCCCACCUGGGGAGUACGCUCGCAAGAGUGAAACUCAAAGGAAUUGACGGGGGCCCGCACAAGCGGUGGAGCAUGUGGUUUAAUUCGAUGAUACGCGAGGAACCUUACCAGGGCUUAAAUGUAAGUUGCAUAGAUCAGAGAUGAUCUUUUCUUCGGACCACUUACAAGGUGCUGCAUGGUUGUCGUCAGCUCGUGCCGUGAGGUGUCAGGUUAAGUCCUAUAACGAGCGCAACCCCUGUCGUUAGUUGCCAGCAAGUAAUGUUGGGUACUCUAGCGAGACUGCCGGUGCAAACCGCGAGGAAGGUGGGGACGACGUCAAAUCAUCACGGCCCUUACGUCCUGGGCUACACACGUUCUACAAUGGCCGGUACAGAGAGCAGCCACUACGCGAGUAGGAGCGAAUCUUCAAAACCGGUCUCAGUUCGGAUCGCAGUCUGCAACUCGACUGCGUGAAGCUGGAAUCGCUAGUAAUCGGAUAUCAGCCAUGAUCCGGUGAAUACGUUCCCGGGCCUUGUACACACCGCCC